AUGUCGAGCAAAACACGAGAGCAAGAGCAUCACAGAGCCACAGCCGCCGAGAAACCCAGAACCCAGGGCAGAAGAUCUUCUUCCUCUCUUUUCUCGCAUAUUGCCCGUACCGUACCGACCAAGAUCAGCGAGGAGCCAAAGGAAUCAGCAGCAAAACCGAGGAACAUCGGCCAUGGGGGGGGGAGCAAGAGGUACUCUACCUGCUCUAGCCAUGGCUUCUCGAUGCCGCUGUUCACCUUCUUCUCCUUGUGCCUUCAUCUGUCCAUCGCCGCCGCCGCCAGCAGCCCGCCCCUUCCUCUAAACAGCACGCAGGAGUCCAUCAUGAGGGAUCUCUCGCGUUAUGUGGGCUCGGCCGGGUGGAACACAACCGUCUCCAAUCCAUGCCUAUGGAGAGGAAUCGGUUGCUCUCCUUCUGACUCCACUUCCUUCUCGGUGGUGACCGACAUCGAUUUGUCCGUCUGCUCCAUGUCCAACCCCACGCUCUUUGCGUCCUUAUGCUCCCUCGACACCUUACAGUCCCUCGACCUCUCCAAGAAUUACUUCUCCGAUUUGACGGGCCAUUUCUCUCGUUGCCCCAUGAGCGCCGGGUUGCGGGUGCUUAAUUUCAGCAGCAACCGCCUGGCCGGGCGUUUAGGCGAUCUCUCCGGCUUCUCUCGGCUCGAGGUUCUUGAUCUAUCCUUUAAUUCCUUCACUGGAACCGUGACCACCCAGUUGAGUGUUAUGCCUAGGUUGAGGAGCCUAAACCUCAACUCCAAUCAUUUGGUGGGUGUUGUCCCUGUAAGCAUGGCUAGCUCUUUGGAGGAGUUGGUGUUGUCUGGUAGUUUUUUCAGUGAUUCCAUCCCAAGUAUUCUGUUCAGUCAUUCAGACCUCACGCUGUUGGACCUUAGUCAGAACAAUCUCACUGAAAUUGUCCAGGAUGAGUUCUGGAAGCUGCCCAAGCUCAGGACCUUAAUCCUUUCUGGCAACAAGCCGACUGGAGCAAUACCGGCGAGCUUGUCGAAUGUCACGACGCUCACUCGGUUUGCGGCUAAUCAGAACAAUUUUACUGGUUCUAUCCCUAGUGGUAUUACAAAGCAUGUGAAGAUGUUGGAUCUGAGUUACAAUGGCCUGAGUGGGGAGAUCCCCUCUGAUCUCCUCGGUCCUGCAGGAUUGGAGAAUGUUGAUCUCUCCAGCAAUUACCUUCAAGGAACCAUUCCCAGGAACCUGUCUUCAAACCUCUACCGCUUGAGGCUUGGUGGUAACAAGCUCAAUGGGACCAUCCCGGACACUAUAGGUGAUGUCUUGGCCUUGGCUUAUCUUGAGUUGGAGAAUAAUCACUUGAUGGGAAACAUAUCUUCAGAGCUUGGAAAAUGCAGGAGCCUGUCCUUGUUGAAUCUGGCAUCCAAUAAUUUUCAGGGUCAGGUGCCUGAUGCAAUCAGCACCCUUGACAAGCUGAUAGUUCUGAAGCUUCAGAUGAACAAUCUCAGGGGAUCUAUCCCAAGUACGUUUUCUGAUUUAACAAGCCUGGACACGUUGAAUCUUAGUCUGAAUUCAUUCACUGGAGAGAUACCAACGGGGAUUUUCAACCUUCCAAAGCUUUUCAGCUUGAAUUUUCAAGGGAACAACAUCAGCGGUGCCAUUCCAGUUUCAGUCAGUACAUCGCAGUCCCUAAUUGAACUCAAUCUGGCAAAUAAUUCCCACACUGGCACCAUCCCAACAAUGCCGACCAGCUUGAGCAAAGCUCUCAAUCUUAGCCACAACCAUCUCACUGGAUCUAUUCCUUCAAACAUCGGUGUUCUGAAAGAUUUAGAGAUCCUCGACCUUUCGUACAACAACUUGUCUGGUCCGGUGCCAUCCUCACUUGACGGUCUGCAGAGCUUGACGCAGUUGGUGCUAUCUUAUAAUCAUCUUUCUGGGUCCCUUCCUGCAUUCCGUUCAAGCGUGACUGUCGAUAGCACCGGAAAUUCUGAUCUAACAGAUGGCGAGGAAAACAGUGAUGCAUCUCCUACUAGUGGUAAGACAGCACACAAAUUGAUGAUGCUAUUGUUGGCUCGCUUUUCGGAUUGUGCUUUGGCUGGUUUUGUUUGGUUGCAUAUCAUUAUGGUGAGACCGUGA
This 2094-nucleotide ribosomal RNA is filed under the name Triticum aestivum (bread wheat). RNAcentral's name for it is "partial small subunit ribosomal RNA". Lineage: Eukaryota; Viridiplantae; Streptophyta; Magnoliopsida; Poales; Poaceae. The record is from RNAcentral.